CCUACGGGAGCCAGCAGUGGGGAAUUUUGGACAAUGGGCGAAAGCCUGAUCCAGCAAUGCCGCGUGCAGGAUGAAGGCCUUCGGGUUGUAAACUGCUUUUGUACGGAACGAAAAAGCUUCUCCUAAUACGAGAGGCCCAUGACGGUACCGUAAGAAUAAGCACCGGCUAACUACGUGCCAGCAGCCGCGGUAAU
Molecule: ribosomal RNA, 194 nt
Filed under: uncultured beta proteobacterium
Lineage: Bacteria; Pseudomonadati; Pseudomonadota; Betaproteobacteria
Description: partial 16S ribosomal RNA
Rfam family: Bacterial small subunit ribosomal RNA
Source: RNAcentral